CUCACUUUUCAGCCUUUUGGCUAAGAUCAAGUGUAGUAUCUCUUCCAGCACUUUCCCCAGAUCUAAAUUAAUCACAAUCUUUAACAUAUAUAUAAAUGCAUACUUACCUACAUGCAGCAAAGAAGUGCUGCAUUUUAGGUUGCUGAC
Small nuclear RNA from Anolis carolinensis (green anole), 147 nucleotides. Its record names the gene U2. It matches the Rfam family "U2 spliceosomal RNA". From Rfam's summary of the family: U2 is a small nuclear RNA (snRNA) component of the spliceosome (involved in pre-mRNA splicing). The record is from Ensembl. Lineage: Eukaryota; Metazoa; Chordata; Lepidosauria; Squamata; Anolidae.